GGACACACAGCCUUCCAGAAUGAGCAAGACAAAGAGUCUGGGGUUCAGCCACUCCAGGAAAGAAAGAGUACAAGGAGAGCAGCCAGAAGACACAGUUUCCACAAUGUAAUCCUGAAAAUGAGACAGAGAACAGACUGGACAUGUUAGAGGAAAUUAUAAUUCAUGGCCUUCUGUGUAGACUCUCCUCAUCCAUUGAAUUAGGCAAGAAAAUGACCUGCCACUAUUGUCCUUUUACAUAGGAGGCAACAAAUCACUCUCUGCUCCACCUGUCUCUUCCACUUCACAUACGAAAGAGAAUCACGGGGAGCUUGGAGCCUAGCCCAGGGGACUCUGGGCACAAGGCAGGGGACACACUGGACGGGGUACCAACCCAUCGCAGAGCACAACUGCACACACACUCACACACCCAUUCAUACACUACAGACAAUUUAGAGAUGCCACUCAGCCUACAAAGAAUGACUUUGGACUGGGGGAGGAAAUCAGAGUACCCAGAGGAAACCCCCGAAGCACAGGGAGAACAUGCAACCUCCACGCACACAGGGUGGAGGCAGGAUUCAAACCCCCAACCCUGGACGUGCAGGGGGAAAGGGGAAGAAAAAAAAAAAAAAAACAUGAAACCAUGAACCAUCUUAAUUAUUUCAGCUAAAUUUAAAAAAAAGUAUAGUUGUUAAUAAGGUGCAGUUUUCUGUAAGGAGAUGUUUAACAUUUAUGGAAGGAAUCUCCAGUGUCAGUGCUUUGUAACAGUCAGAGUUUGAAGAAAGUCUUCUGGACAGAUGUACUUUGAGCUUUGCUGAUGAGGGAAUGGCUGUUUAUAGCUGUUAU
Long non-coding RNA from Pangasianodon hypophthalmus (striped catfish), 822 nucleotides. RefSeq lists it as uncharacterized. The record is from RefSeq and is a predicted model, not a curated record. Lineage: Eukaryota; Metazoa; Chordata; Actinopteri; Siluriformes; Pangasiidae. The transcript is spliced from 3 exons.